Molecule: long non-coding RNA, 2313 nt
Filed under: Triticum aestivum (bread wheat)
Lineage: Eukaryota; Viridiplantae; Streptophyta; Magnoliopsida; Poales; Poaceae
Description: long non-coding RNA (TAES_LNC005619)
Source: RNAcentral
AGAGCGAAUGUUUCUUGUAGCUAGACAUGCCUCGUCGUCGACUGAUCCGGUGCGUCCUGGGAGCGACAACUUUGAUAUAGCUAAUGGACAUGGUCAUGUCCUUAUCAAGUCUACAUCUGAUCUUCAGGUAUGAUGGUGAGUCCCUCGGUCUAUUUUUCGCGUUGCAUCACCGAAUAAUCAAGAUGGACCGGACCUUUGUUGAGCAUAAAGCUGAAAUAUGCUUUAGUUGCCUUGAAUGUAUUUUCAACGGAUAGUAUAGUAUUAUUUCAAUUCUCAGUAGGGAGCUCCAUUUGAACUGCUUGCAGAUACAGUUAUGUUGAUGUCUCAGCUACAACUUUAUACGAUUUGUAUCUCUUUGCAGAAAGCUGUAUCUUCUUGUUUCGGGAAAGCAUUGGUGACCAGCAGUGCUGUCAUGCUUGUGAUGCCGCCCAGUUGCUUGGCAGAAGAAUGCGACCCGGGGUACUCUCUUCCUAACAUGCCGCUGUUGUUUGCGAUAGCCAUGGUCGGUGCUACUGUUGGAGGUAAUAUCACAUUGUCAAGGAUCUUAGCACGUAGGAAAUUGUUUGUGGCUAGCAAACUAGCUUUAAGUUUCAGCCCAACACUACACAAUUGAUUUUCCUUAUAUUAUUUUUUUAAUACUUCAUCAACAUCUUGAGCAGUUAUGAAUAUCAAACAUUAAAAAAUAUGCAAUUUUUUUGAACUGCUGACAACUUCUGGGAGACGGUAGAAAUCUAAUCUACAGCCUUAUAAAGCUUAUUUUUUUUCUCCAAAAGCGCCCCAAAGUGUGUGUCAUAUUGUAUUAGAAGGAAAGCGCCAAGAAGGCACAAAGUACAACUCAACGAAACCAGAGACAUUGUGCAAGUACAACUCGAGAAAACCAAAGACAAACAAACAUUCACGUUUGUCUUUUUGCUUGCUAUUUAUUAGUACAUGAAAAACAGUGUAUGUAUCCUUAAAGACCUGAAUUCUUUCAGCUUGUUCAAGCAUGUUGCGGUUAGCUUUUGCCUAUAUGACUAUUUCUGCCAAUGACUGUUUCUUUUGUGAUGGCCGUUUUCCAUCAUGCUCUUGUUUGUAGAGAAAAUGACAUAUGCAGUAGUUACUACUUCAUACUGCUUAGUUACCCUUGGUUAUUCUGUAAGUUCUGUAAUAUGUUUGUCUCUCUGGAGGUGCAACAUUUUCCUACUUUAGAUUGAACAAUUCAGAAACCCUGUAGGGCUCCUUGCGAGACAAAGGAAAGGGGAACUUAAAAAGCUUAACGAUCAGCUACGACAGAUAAAUGCUUCACUGAGAAGACAAGCCAAGAUAGAAUCCUAUGCUCCUGCUUUGAGCUAUGCACCGGCUGCUAGUAAGAUACCAGAAUCAGAAGUCAUUGUUGAUCCUCACAAACAGCGCCUGCUCACAUAUCUGAGGACUGGGAAGAACUACCUGAGAAACCAAGCUCCAGACAAGGCAUUUUCCGAGUUUAAGGCAGCUCUUGAUCUUGCACAAUCUUUGGGUGAUCAUGUUGAAGAGAAGAAGGCGGCACGAGGAUUAGGUCCGUCAUUGUUUGGCAUGAAUUUCAUUUAUCAUUUGCUUGUACGCACAUUUGAAACUGAUCGUGCUUUGAUGCGUACUUCGUUGCCUAGAGAGCUCAGCAGAAUUUGCGCCCCUCCUGAACAUGCCAAUGAUAGUUUGAACAUGAUAAUGUAAAUACAAUUUCACCAUAACAAACUGAAUCGUAUAAACAGAGUAGCAGUACUAAUUGCAAGCAUUGUGGUGCCCAUUUUUAUUUACUUUUUGUGAAAUCCAACUGACGGAAGUCCUUUGCGUUCAUCAGGAGCAUCAUUGCAAAGACAAGGAAAUUACAAGGAAGCAAUAAAGUACCACUCCAUGGUUCUCAGCAUCUCCAAGAUGACUGGAGAGGAUUCUGGUGUCACUGAGGCAUAUGGGGCAAUAGCCGAUUGCUACACCGAAGUUGGUGAGCUCGAGAAGGCAGGCAAGUUCUACGAUGAGUACAUUGCAAGAUUGGAGAAUGACUGAAAAUGUGUGUGUGUGCGCGCGCUACCUGUGAGAAUGCAAACACCGCUAAACUUUUUGUUCUUCACUAGUCAUAUGAUGUCUUGUAGAUGUGCAGUUCCUGGCAACAAAAAAGACUGGUUUAUUAUAUCUUCUAAGUUGUUUCCCCUGAAUUAUGUGAGAUCAUUUGGGUCAGUAGCAUGCUGUGUAGUUAUUUUGGUAGUAAUAGCUUACUGUAAGUACAAAUGAAAUCCAGCUUUCCGACUUGAAAAUUUUAAAGAAAUACCUCAACCUAUCACUGCCUGUCCUGAAUUUGUU